This is a long non-coding RNA of Papaver somniferum (opium poppy), 772 nucleotides long. RefSeq lists it as uncharacterized. The record is from RefSeq and is a predicted model, not a curated record. The transcript is spliced from 2 exons. Lineage: Eukaryota; Viridiplantae; Streptophyta; Magnoliopsida; Ranunculales; Papaveraceae.
UUAGAUAAAUAUUUAUACUUAUCUAAAAAGGAACAAAAAAAUUACGUUUUAUCUUACAGAUGAAGCCUAUAUAAACAUUUUGCAGUGUUUUUAGUUUUGUGUAUGAUGGUGGUUUUUCUUCACCUCCUUAUCAUCUUCCCAUCCAACAUUUUUUCUUUCACUGGGGAGAUUCUACAAGAUGACUAUCAUCGGCUUCUAGAAUCCCCACAGAGAUUUAAGGAGGUUAUCAUUCGAGGUGAAGAUCAGGGAGCCAAAUAGCAUUUCCGUUAUCAUUACUCCAAAAUGCAUUUGUGUUUUAGGGAGAUACCCGAUAAUCUGAUUUUCCUCUCAACACAGAAGACACAUGUGUCUCCAUCAAACAUACGUGCAAAGGAUGGAGAAUCAAGAAAGAAGAAUAAAGAGAGUGAAAAAGAGAAGGAAAGCAGGAUGUGAAAUCUGCUGAAUAGAUCUAUGUACAAUACUGCUGUAUCCUUAGCAAUAGUUUUUACUUGGUUUGUCUAAAAACAGGUUAAUCAGGAAUAUCACUACUCCAAAAUGUAUUUGUGUUCUAUGGAGAUUCUCUUGUUUCCGAUAAUCUGAUUUUCCUCUACUUUGAAAUCGGUGAAAAGGGAUGGAGAAUCAAGAAAGCAGAAUAUCAAAUCUGCUGGAUAAAUCUAUGUAUAAUACUCCUACAUCCUUAUGUUUGUAAGGAAAUGAAGCUGGUAAAAAUAACUAUAAACAUAUCCUGUAUCAAUCAAUAUAAAAAUUCCAAUAAAAUCCCUUGUAUUGAUCA